GCUAAAAACCUAGCUCAACUUUACGCAAAUACCACAACCAAACAACUGUAACUAAACAAAACAUUUUUAAAUUUUUAGUAAAGGCGAUUGAAAAAUAUCUAGAAGCUAUAACAAUAGUACCGCAAGGGAAAAGUGAAAUAAAAAUGAAAUAACUUUAAAGCAAAGCUAAGCAGAGAUUUAACCUCGUACCUUUUGCAUCAUGGUCUAGCUAGUUUAACCAAGCAAAGCGAAAUUAUAGUUUGACACCCCGAAACUAGGUGAGCUACUUCAAAACAGCCUUCAAGGGCCAACCCGUCUCUGUUGCAAAAGAGUGGGAAGAUUUUCAAGUAGAGGUGAUAGACCUACCGAACCUAGAGAUAGCUGGUUAUUCAGGAAAAGGAUCUAAGUCCUACCUUAAGUUUUUCUAUACUACAAAAUAUACCCAUAAACUUAAGAGCUAUUCAAAUAAGGUACAGCCUAUUUGAAACAGGAAACAACCUAAAACACAGGGUAAUGAUAUUCUAAAUGUGACCAAGUGGGCCUAAAAGCAGCCAACUUUUAAAUAGCGUUAAAGCUUCAUCACUUCAUUUAACAAAUAACCAUAACACCACAAAACCCUUUACCACUACUGAAUGACUCCAUAAUUGUAUGGAGAACACUAUGCUAGAACUAGUAACAAGAAGAAGACCUUCUCCAAAAUGUAAGUGUAAGCCAAAAUGAACAUCUCACUGGCACUUAUCGUCUCUGAACUUACGGUAGCAACUUCACAAGAAAAUACUACCACACAAAACGUUAACCUUACACCAGAACAUUACCGGAAAGAUUAAAAGAAGAGGAAGGAACUCGGCAAAUUUUAACCCCGCCUGUUUACCAAAAACAUCGCCUCCUGAAAUAACUAUAGGAGGUCCAGCCUGCCCAGUGACAAAGUUAAACGGCCGCGGUACCCUAACCGUGCGAAGGUAGCGCAAUCACUUGUUCUUUAAAUGAGGACUAGUAUGAAUGGCAUCACGAGGGUUAUACUGUCUCCCUCUUUCAAUCAGUGAAACUGAUCUUCCCGUGAAGAAGCGGGAAUACAUCUAUAAGACGAGAAGACCCCAUGGAGCUUAAAACUCAGUAUCAACUACUAUACUAAUUUAUCCUCUUAAUUAAGCAGAUCUGACUACUAGUUUUCGGUUGGGGUGACCGCGGAGCAAAACAAAACCUCCACGAUGAAAGGAACUAACCUCCUAAUCAAAGAGCUACCUCUCUAAGAAUCAACAAAUUGACAUUUAUUGAUCCAACUUUUUUGAUCAACGAACCAAGUUACCCUGGGGAUAACAGCGCAAUCCAUUUCAAGAGCCCCUAUCGACAAAUGGGUUUACGACCUCGAUGUUGGAUCAGGGUAUCCCAGUGGUGCAGCCGCUACUAAAGGUUCGUUUGUUCAACGAUUAAAACCCU
This 1416-nucleotide ribosomal RNA is filed under the name Scaphiophryne marmorata (marbled rain frog). RNAcentral describes it as "partial large subunit ribosomal RNA". It matches the Rfam family "Bacterial large subunit ribosomal RNA", at positions 155 to 2597 of the family's 2925-position model. Lineage: Eukaryota; Metazoa; Chordata; Amphibia; Anura; Microhylidae. The record is from RNAcentral.